RNAcentral lists this ribosomal RNA (406 nucleotides) under uncultured bacterium. RNAcentral's name for it is "partial 16S ribosomal RNA". It matches the Rfam family "Bacterial small subunit ribosomal RNA", at positions 30 to 526 of the family's 1533-position model. The record is from RNAcentral.
AUUGAACGCUGGCGGCAGGCCUAACACAUGCAAGUCGAACGAGUGGCGGACGGGUGAGUAAUGUCUGGGAAACUGCCUGAUGGAGGGGGAUAACUACUGGAAACGGUAGCUAAUACCGCAUACCAUCGGAUGUGCCCAGAUGGGAUUAGCUAGUAGGUGGGGUAACGGCUCACCUAGGCGACGAUCCCUAGCUGGUCUGAGAGGAUGACCAGCAACACUGGAACUGAAGAACGGUCCAGACUCCUACGGGAGGCCGCGGUGGGGAAAAUUGCAAAAUGGGCGCAAGCCUGAUGCAGCCAUGCCGCGUGUAUGAAGAAGGCCUUCGGGUGGUAAAGUACUUUCAGCGGGGAGGCGUUACCCGCAGAAGAAGCACCGGCUAACUCCGUGCCAGCAGCCGCGGUAAUUC